This 2903-nucleotide ribosomal RNA is filed under the name Escherichia coli. RNAcentral's name for it is "23S ribosomal RNA". It matches the Rfam family "Bacterial large subunit ribosomal RNA". Lineage: Bacteria; Pseudomonadati; Pseudomonadota; Gammaproteobacteria; Enterobacterales; Enterobacteriaceae. The record is from RNAcentral.
GGUUAAGCGACUAAGCGUACACGGUGGAUGCCCUGGCAGUCAGAGGCGAUGAAGGACGUGCUAAUCUGCGAUAAGCGUCGGUAAGGUGAUAUGAACCGUUAUAACCGGCGAUUUCCGAAUGGGGAAACCCAGUGUGUUUCGACACACUAUCAUUAACUGAAUCCAUAGGUUAAUGAGGCGAACCGGGGGAACUGAAACAUCUAAGUACCCCGAGGAAAAGAAAUCAACCGAGAUUCCCCCAGUAGCGGCGAGCGAACGGGGAGGAGCCCAGAGCCUGAAUCAGUGUGUGUGUUAGUGGAAGCGUCUGGAAAGGCGCGCGAUACAGGGUGACAGCCCCGUACACAAAAAUGCACAUAUUGUGAGCUCGAUGAGUAGGGCGGGACACGUGGUAUCCUGUCUGAAUAUGGGGGGACCAUCCUCCAAGGCUAAAUACUCCUGACUGACCGAUAGUGAACCAGUACCGUGAGGGAAAGGCGAAAAGAACCCCGGCGAGGGGAGUGAAAAAGAACCUGAAACCGUGUACGUACAAGCAGUGGGAGCACGCUUAGGCGUGUGACUGCGUACCUUUUGUAUAAUGGGUCAGCGACUUAUAUUCUGUAGCAAGGUUAACCGAAUAGGGGAGCCGAAGGGAAACCGAGUCUUAACUGGGCGUUAAGUUGCAGGGUAUAGACCCGAAACCCGGUGAUCUAGCCAUGGGCAGGUUGAAGGUUGGGUAACACUAACUGGAGGACCGAACCGACUAAUGUUGAAAAAUUAGCGGAUGACUUGUGGCUGGGGGUGAAAGGCCAAUCAAACCGGGAGAUAGCUGGUUCUCCCCGAAAGCUAUUUAGGUAGCGCCUCGUGAAUUCAUCUCCGGGGGUAGAGCACUGUUUCGGCAAGGGGGUCAUCCCGACUUACCAACCCGAUGCAAACUGCGAAUACCGGAGAAUGUUAUCACGGGAGACACACGGCGGGUGCUAACGUCCGUCGUGAAGAGGGAAACAACCCAGACCGCCAGCUAAGGUCCCAAAGUCAUGGUUAAGUGGGAAACGAUGUGGGAAGGCCCAGACAGCCAGGAUGUUGGCUUAGAAGCAGCCAUCAUUUAAAGAAAGCGUAAUAGCUCACUGGUCGAGUCGGCCUGCGCGGAAGAUGUAACGGGGCUAAACCAUGCACCGAAGCUGCGGCAGCGACACUAUGUGUUGUUGGGUAGGGGAGCGUUCUGUAAGCCUGCGAAGGUGUGCUGUGAGGCAUGCUGGAGGUAUCAGAAGUGCGAAUGCUGACAUAAGUAACGAUAAAGCGGGUGAAAAGCCCGCUCGCCGGAAGACCAAGGGUUCCUGUCCAACGUUAAUCGGGGCAGGGUGAGUCGACCCCUAAGGCGAGGCCGAAAGGCGUAGUCGAUGGGAAACAGGUUAAUAUUCCUGUACUUGGUGUUACUGCGAAGGGGGGACGGAGAAGGCUAUGUUGGCCGGGCGACGGUUGUCCCGGUUUAAGCGUGUAGGCUGGUUUUCCAGGCAAAUCCGGAAAAUCAAGGCUGAGGCGUGAUGACGAGGCACUACGGUGCUGAAGCAACAAAUGCCCUGCUUCCAGGAAAAGCCUCUAAGCAUCAGGUAACAUCAAAUCGUACCCCAAACCGACACAGGUGGUCAGGUAGAGAAUACCAAGGCGCUUGAGAGAACUCGGGUGAAGGAACUAGGCAAAAUGGUGCCGUAACUUCGGGAGAAGGCACGCUGAUACGUAGGUGAAGUCCCUCGCGGAUGGAGCUGAAAUCAGUCGAAGAUACCAGCUGGCUGCAACUGUUUAUUAAAAACACAGCACUGUGCAAACACGAAAGUGGACGUAUACGGUGUGACGCCUGCCCGGUGCCGGAAGGUUAAUUGAUGGGGUCAGCGCAAGCGAAGCUCUUGAUCGAAGCCCCGGUAAACGGCGGCCGUAACUAUAACGGUCCUAAGGUAGCGAAAUUCCUUGUCGGGUAAGUUCCGACCUGCACGAAUGGCGUAAUGAUGGCCAGGCUGUCUCCACCCGAGACUCAGUGAAAUUGAACUCGCUGUGAAGAUGCAGUGUACCCGCGGCAAGACGGAAAGACCCCGUGAACCUUUACUAUAGCUUGACACUGAACAUUGAGCCUUGAUGUGUAGGAUAGGUGGGAGGCUUGGAAGUGUGGACGCCAGUCUGCAUGGAGCCGACCUUGAAAUACCACCCUUUAAUGUUUGAUGUUCUAACGUUGACCCGUGAUCCGGGUUGCGGACAGUGUCUGGUGGGUAGUUUGACUGGGGCGGUCUCCUCCUAAAGAGUAACGGAGGAGCACGAAGGUUGGCUAAUCCUGGUCGGACAUCAGGAGGUUAGUGCAAUGGCAUAAGCCAGCUUGACUGCGAGCGUGACGGCGCGAGCAGGUGCGAAAGCAGGUCAUAGUGAUCCGGUGGUUCUGAAUGGAAGGGCCAUCGCUCAACGGAUAAAAGGUACUCCGGGGAUAACAGGCUGAUACCGCCCAAGAGUUCAUAUCGACGGCGGUGUUUGGCACCUCGAUGUCGGCUCAUCACAUCCUGGGGCUGAAGUAGGUCCCAAGGGUAUGGCUGUUCGCCAUUUAAAGUGGUACGCGAGCUGGGUUUAGAACGUCGUGAGACAGUUCGGUCCCUAUCUGCCGUGGGCGCUGGAGAACUGAGGGGGGCUGCUCCUAGUACGAGAGGACCGGAGUGGACGCAUCACUGGUGUUCGGGUUGUCAUGCCAAUGGCACUGCCCGGUAGCUAAAUGCGGAAGAGAUAAGUGCUGAAAGCAUCUAAGCACGAAACUUGCCCCGAGAUGAGUUCUCCCUGACCCUUUAAGGGUCCUGAAGGAACGUUGAAGACGACGACGUUGAUAGGCCGGGUGUGUAAGCGCAGCGAUGCGUUGAGCUAACCGGUACUAAUGAACCGUGAGGCUUAACCUU